Haliotis rubra (blacklip abalone) is the source of this 352-nucleotide long non-coding RNA. RefSeq lists it as uncharacterized. The record is from RefSeq and is a predicted model, not a curated record. The transcript is spliced from 3 exons. NCBI's taxonomy places the organism in Eukaryota, Metazoa, Mollusca, Gastropoda, Lepetellida, Haliotidae.
CGCCUGUGAUAUGACCACAUUUUCACUCUUGAAUUUUAGGCGUUCGGUACUGGAAGUGUGACUAAAGUUGCAGUCAGUGACAAGUAUGACAACGAACGAGACGAGUCAUGGGUUUCCAAUGGAUGAGAGAACUAAAGACGAUAUACAUGUGGACAAAGAGUCUGCAGAUCAGAGGGCCAAAUGGAAUUCACGUAUUGAAUACAUCCUCUCCCUUGUUGGCUUUUGUGUUGGAUUCGGGAAUUUGUGGAGGUUCCCGUACGUCUGUAACAGAAAUGGCGGAGGCGCCUUCCUGCUGCCGUUCCUACUCUGUAUCUUAAUCAUUGGGUUCCCCGUGUUCUUCUUGGAAGCCUCA